Molecule: long non-coding RNA, 2099 nt
Organism: Populus euphratica (Euphrates poplar)
Lineage: Eukaryota; Viridiplantae; Streptophyta; Magnoliopsida; Malpighiales; Salicaceae
Exons: 2
Source: RefSeq, a predicted model, not a curated record
GGAAUAAAAUCAGGAGUGCCUUUUGUGAGUAUCAAUGAGUGGGUGUUUUUGGGUUACUUGUUGAUGUUUUUUUACGAGUUUUUGGAUGGUUUAGAUGAUUUUGGAUGAUCUUAAUUAUUUAAUGUAAUAUAUAUAUAUAUAUAUAUAUAUAUUUCAAUUAGAAUGUUUUUUUUUUACCGUGAUUUUGUUCAUCAAGGGGGGAAUACCUUGUCUGAUUUGGGAUCCCUGAAUUGAUUUUCACAUGGACGGGAGCAAAGGUAAAGAGAAGGUAGGGGUAGGCAUCCUUUUGGAUUGGAUUAAAAAUAUCUAAUUAAAUGGAUUUUCUCGAAGUUUUAUUUGUUGAGAGAGAGCAGGAGAACAAUUGAAGAAAAUUUAUAGUGCCUGACCUGUACCCAAUGAGUGAAAUACAUGGCGUUGUGAUUUUAUUGGACCUGUGGGUGGCAUGUCUAUGACUAGAAUGGGAGUAGAAUAUGGAAGUACAUGUGGUAGCAUUCCAGGUUGAGGUUACUGUUGCUGUGACAUAUUGACUGUUCUCUUAUUGAGUUUUGAAAGUUCGAUUGGUUUUACUGCGCAAAUGGAAUUGGGUUAUGGGAUUGGUAACCAAUCGCUAGUUUCAUGUAUUUGAAAGGAUUGCUUUUAGUGGCACACUAACUGUUAUUGAGUUUAUGCUGCUGGAGUUUAUGUUCGUUCGUAUGUUGUUUUGGUUUAGCUAGAUUGGCUCUGCUGUUGGGGGGACACCAAGUGAAUUCUAUGGAUUCAACCAUGGUAUCUACUGUUCUUUUCAUAUUUCCUUUCCUAAUUGAUGAAGAGUGUUUUAAUGUACUCGAUAUGCAUUUCAUUCAUGAGGCUACAACCUAGUAGUUGUAGAUGCAAAAACCCUUAAGAUAAGCAUAUACUUUGUCUCGAGAAUGCUGAGAAAUUAUUAACCAUCCUCAAGGUAGUGCUCCCUCAUUACCUACAUUUUGGAUCUUCUUGUACUAGCUGUUAUUGGUCUUGCAGCAAUGUUACAGGGAGCACUUGACCGGGUAUGGUGUGGUGGAUGAUCUUUCUAGGAUGCCUACAAAAAAAGGACCCUUGAACAAUCAUGGCUUGAGGCAAUUCUGUUAUGCUUUGAUUCUCAAACCUUGAAAACACUGCCAGAAAAAUAGAAGGGACAGUCAGCAAGGAAUCCAUUUCUGAGUUCAUGGCUCUCUCUCAAUGCUCGAUCACUUAAAUAUGUUUUCCAUACACCACCUGUAAUAGUAUUCUCUUCAGCUUGUGCAGGAGUGGCAGGUCAGCAAUACUAUCCUUAAAUUUUCUUGUGAGAAUCACCAUGAUUUUACUGGCAUCUAACUACAGGAAUUUCAUAAUGGACAUGGUAUUUUAUAUCCGUGAAAACUAUGGGGUUUGUUCUGUAAAUGGCCAUGGCUAUGAGAAAUAUCCUACUGAUAUAGAUGUGCGAUGACUUCCAAAGGAGGAAAGAGGAUGUCCCCUUCUGGGACUCUGUUCCUCAGGAUUUCCUUGCGUAUCUACGAACUUAAUCACUAGAAACCAGUAGCGACUAGCUAGUAGGGAAUGAUUCUGUCUGUCUUUUGAGGCAGCAGUCAAUCCUGGUGACCUGCAUGUUGAUUGCUGCCUAAUGCAUGUUUCAAAUUUCAACCUAUCCUUAAUCUGUACUCGAUAGCAGCUGGCCUUCAUUUCCAUGGACAUUGGAGGAAUUAGCUCCAUUUCUUGAGAUACAGUUAUGAUAACUGGUCCUGGAGCCGUUCUUUGUUAAAAGUAAAACUUCUAACUGGUCCUGGAGCCGUUCUUUGUUAAAAGUAAAACUUCUCUCAUUGCUCUGCGACAAUGUGCAUCUGUGUAUCGGUGGCUGCGCAAGCACAUCUACCUUUAUCACGUCUGAUUAUUCUGACCAGGCAUUUUGUUAGUGGAUUGCAUGGUGGUUUAGUGUUUAUUUUGACUUAUUAUUCAAUGUCUAUCAAUGCUGUAGGAUUAAACUGUAAGGACCUUUUCCAAAGGGCUGAUAUCAGUUGCUUGCUAUGGAUUCUGGAUUCUGUUAGUUUUUGGCUACAGUGCCUUUUUGAGACUCCUAACAUUGGCCCACCUGGUUAAAAUUCAAA